GAAAGACCAUCAUGGCACCUUAUCUGAAUUGAUCAAAUUGUUGCUAACAAAGGAACCUUGAAAGAGUUCAGAGGUAAAUACCUGAAGAGCCUACAGAAAUAAAGACACGUCUAGAGUAGGCAUGUUGAAAUUACUCAAUACAAUCCUUACAAUUUCCUCUUCUUCUUGUUGAGCUAUAGACUCUAGUGAUUUUUAUAUAUAGAGUCGAUGGGA
RNAcentral lists this long non-coding RNA (213 nucleotides) under Elaeis guineensis (African oil palm). RNAcentral describes it as "long non-coding RNA (EGUI_LNC062758)". The record is from RNAcentral. Lineage: Eukaryota; Viridiplantae; Streptophyta; Magnoliopsida; Arecales; Arecaceae.